Molecule: ribosomal RNA, 1215 nt
Filed under: denitrifying bacterium enrichment culture clone NOB_2_E12
Lineage: Bacteria
Description: bacterial SSU rRNA
Rfam family: Bacterial small subunit ribosomal RNA
Source: RNAcentral
AGUUUGAUCCUGGCUCAGGAUGAACGCUGGCGGCGUGCUUAAUACAUGCAAGUCGAACGGAGGACUUUUGUAGUAAUACAGGAGUUUCUCAGUGGCGAACGGGCGAGUAACGAGUUGGUGACCUGCCCCGAAGUGUGGGAUAACAGUCCGAAAGGAUUGCUAAUACCGCAUGUGAUCAUCGGUUUUAGAAUCUGAUGAUUAAAGCAGCAAUGCGCUUCGGGAGGGACCUGCUUCCCAUCAGCUAGUUGGUGAGGUAAUGGCCCACCAAGGCUACGACGGGUAAGGGACCUGAGAGGGUGGUCCCUCGCAAUGGCACUGAAACACGGGCCAUACACCUACGGGUGGCAGCAGUAGGGAAUAUUGGGCAAUGGGCGAAAGCCUGACCCAGCAACGCCGCGUGCACGAUGAAGGCCUUCGGGUCGUAAAGUGCUUUUCUGAGGAAUGAGUAAGGACAGUACCUCAGGAAUAAGCCUCGGCUAACUACGUGCCAGCAGCCGCGGUAAAACGUAGGAGGCAAGCGUUAUCCGGAUUUACUGGGCGUAAAGCGUGUGUAGGCGGUUCGGCAAGUUGGAUGUGAAAGCUCCUGGCUUAACUAGGAGAGGUCGUUCAAUACUACCGAACUUGAGGGCAUCAGAGGAAGGUGGAAUUCCCGGUGUAGUGGUGAAAUGCGUAGAUAUCGGGAGGAACACCAGUGGCGAAGGCGGCCUUCUGGGAUGUUCCUGACGCUCAGACACGAAAGCUAGGGUAGCGAACGGGAUUAGAGACCCCGGUAGUCCUAGCAGUAAACGAUGUAGACUUGGUGUCGGAGGUGUCAAAACCUUCGGUAUCGUAGCUAACGCGAUAAGUCUACCGCCUGGGGACUACGGCCGCAAGGUUAAAACUCAAAGGAAUUGACGGGGGCCCGCACAAGCAGCGGAGCGUGUGGUUUAAUUCGAUGUUACACGAAGACCUUACCCAGGUUUGACAUGUUGGUGGUAGGAAUCCGAAAGGUGACCGACCCGCAAGGGAGCCUUCACAGGUGCUGCAUGCUGUCGUCAGCUCGUGUCGUGAGAUGUUCGGUAGUCGCUACGAGCGCAUCCUCGCCGUAUGCUACAUGUGUCAUGCGGACGUUGUAUCAGCUGAGAGGUGGGGAUGACGUCAGUCAGCAUGCCUUUAUUCUGGCUACCACACGCUACAUGGGCCGGCUACAAUGGGGGUCGCCCUAUAGCCCCCCAG